Non-coding RNA from Aspergillus saccharolyticus JOP 1030-1, 95 nucleotides. The record is from the annotation of a RefSeq genome assembly. NCBI's taxonomy places the organism in Eukaryota, Fungi, Ascomycota, Eurotiomycetes, Eurotiales, Aspergillaceae.
GGCAAGGUGGCCGAGUGGUCUAAGGCGCUAGUUUUAGGAAUCCUACAGGAAACCACUAGUUCGAAAGAGCAUGGGUUCGAAUCCCAUCCUUGUCA